Molecule: transfer RNA, 71 nt
Filed under: Serratia symbiotica
Lineage: Bacteria; Pseudomonadati; Pseudomonadota; Gammaproteobacteria; Enterobacterales; Yersiniaceae
Description: transfer RNA Cysteine
Rfam family: tRNA
About the family: Transfer RNA (tRNA) molecules are approximately 80 nucleotides in length. Their secondary structure includes four short double-helical elements and three loops (D, anti-codon, and T loops). Further hydrogen bonds mediate the characteristic L-shaped molecular structure. tRNAs have two regions of fundamental functional importance: the anti-codon, which is responsible for specific mRNA codon recognition, and the 3' end, to which the tRNAs corresponding amino acid is attached (by aminoacyl-tRNA synthetases). tRNAs cope with the degeneracy of the genetic code in two manners: having more than one tRNA (with a specific anti-codon) for a particular amino acid; and 'wobble' base-pairing, i.e. permitting non-standard base-pairing at the 3rd anti-codon position.
Source: RNAcentral
GUGUUAACAAAUCGGUUAUGUAGUGGAUUGCAAAUCCAUUUAGUCCGGUUCGAUUCCGGAACACGCCUUCA